AAAUUGAUUUUAAUGUGGCUUCAACAUGUCGGCGCGAUAGCGUACUUGUUAACUUCUGCCUUGUGAAAGACAGCAUAUGAACCUGUAAACCUUUCAAAUGCACAGUGUGUCGUUCUGGGAUGUGGUCCUACAACAUUAAUAGAGGACGACAAGUGCCUUAGCAGAUGAGUUGAACUAACUGCAAACUUUGGCAAAGAGGAAGUUUUACUGCGUCAAGUAAGUGCUGCUUUCCGUUACACAAAUCUGUACCACACACACACACACACACACACACACACACACACACACACACACACACACACACACACACACACACACACACACACACACACACACACACACGCACGCACGCACACACACGCACACGCACACACCUGUUCUGAUUUAUACAAUUUUGUAGGUUGGGCUCAGUUCAUCUUUUGUUUGCAAGACAAAACUAAGUGUAGGGGAAACUUAUCAAUUAGGCGUUGGUGGGACGUUUUUAUUAGAUAAUCGAUAUCCGUAUUUUAUUCAUUUUGGUCAUCCACCCAUAGAGUGGGCUAAACCGUCUUGGAAAGUAGUUGAUAACAGUCAGUUUGAAAUGAGAGAUACAUUCGAAAGUAUAACUCAUCGUGAAAACACCGGCAAAGGAGCAAAAAGUUACAUUAUAUCUGCUGCUAUAGACACAGACUCUAUCAAAUACUUUGAAUCAAUUCAUCCAGGAAGUUGUGAUAAAUUGGAAACUAAACAUGUUUGCACUUUAGUCGAUGCAGAAACUAUUAAAUUACAAGAACUGGCAAGCAGCAAACAGUCAACAGCUCUGCUAGCUUAUUUUAAGCGAGCCAGUAGUGGCAACAAUCUAGAACAAAGUUCUAAAAUGUUUAUUAGUGACAAGUUAAAGUUAUCCACUGAAUCUGAGACAACUGAAGUAGUUGUGAAGAACUCUGGGAAGAGCUUUCGGAACUUGUUGUAUUUACAAGUAAAGGAGUUCAACCAAGUAACAAAGUUUAAGAUGUUACUGCUUUGCGGACAGUGUACUGGUUGUAUUAAAAUCUAAAGCAUAGUUUGCUGGAUUUGAUCUUGAUGGCACAAUAAUAACCAAGUCAGGAAGAGUGUUUCUACAAAGCCCUAAUUAUUGGAAAUUACAGUUUCCGCAAAUCAAGACUGAAUUGUUGGAGUUGCAUCGUCUAGGAUACAAAGUUGUUAUUUCUACUAAUCAGUUGGCUGUAGGGCACAACAAAAUAUGCAUUAAUGACUUUCUUUUCGAGGUAAGGGACGUAGGAAGAAGUAUCGGAGUGCCAGUUCAAGUAUUUACUUCGGAAAGUUGAUGUAGUAUGUAUUGGAAACCAUGUCUUGGAAUGUGGACAUUCAUGACAGAUGAAGCAAGCGGGUGUUCAACCUGGACUACUUUGAGCUCAUCUGCCUGUUCUGUUGUCUCUCCGGACUCCUUGACUUUUGCGUCAGUGUAAUCUGUGUGUGCAUGGCCAUUAUCCAAAACUUUGCACGCUGCCAUUUGCUGCAAUUCAGAUGGCUCUUGCUAUUGUCUCAGUGCUUGCAGCGUUAUGUGGCCGGUUCUGCCUUGAAUGACAUGUUCAGGAACUCCCGCUUGAAACAGCCUUGUCACAGCCUUGUCACUCUAGUAGCUCAAAGGGCAUGGUUGGUUCGAACUGGAAGACCAGCUUCAGCUGUCAUCACUUUCAUCUUUGUAGCCAAAGUGUUACGACCGAUUACUUGCUUUGAAUACCAAGGAGCAAAUAGUAUUCUGUUAUGACAUUAUCAAGACUUGUUCACUUUUACUGGCAUUGUUCAGGUAUUAGUUAUGUUUUCAUUGUCUUAUCUGCACAUAACUGAUAGUGUCACAACCUACGAAUGGUCAUACUAGAGCUGAACAAGAGAUUGAAUACUGAAAACCAGAGAAAUGAGGGCAUAUCAGUUGCUUUAACCUGUAACUUGUUUGUUGGAAAUGCUGCUGGUCGAUCAAAAGGUUGGCCCCUGGAAGAAAUAAAGCAGAAUUCUUGUGUUCUUAUCGCAAGUUUGCUCUAGAUAUUGGCUUGACUUUCUUUACGCCUGAAGAAUACUUUUGGGAUACCGACCCGCCUCAUACAGUCUAGAACAGUUUGAUCCUAUUUAGAGGAAAGCUGUGAACUUUCCAGGGCCAUUGUGCAACCCUGUAAUUGCUAAAGUAAUCAGUGAAGGAAAAGAGGUGGUUGUACUAGUUGGUUAUCCAGGAAGUAAGAAUUAUUGUUACAAAACAGUAAAUACCUGAUUUGUUACAGUUAGUAUAGGUGCGAAGUCAACAUUUGUUCUGAGAUACCUUAUUCUACGUGACUAUUGUAGAGUAAACAGAGGUGCACUCAGUUCGUGGCAAAAGUGUGUUCAAUUAUCAGAAUCAGCUCUUCAAAGAGGAAAGAUUGUGGUGGUGGACAACACCAGUCCUGAUGUAGACUCUUGUGCCAGGUGCUUUUGUCUUCACAGCAAGUUUGGAACAGUUAAAGCACAAUAACAAAUUUCAACUUGAUCACAAACCCGUGGAUGAACUUGCUUACAACAGCUAUAGAUCAAAGUUUGUGAAACCAUCAGUCUCGGAUUUGUGGAGAUCAUUAAUAUCAAUUUUAUUCCAGAAUUCAAAUGUGAAAGUGACAGAAAACUGUAUGCAUAUUUAUAUUUUCUUGUAUACUGUUAAGGUUGGUAGCAGGAUUGGUAGUAAUAAGUUGUUAGAAGGAAUGUUUGUUCUCUUUUUGUGUUUUAAUUUGAUUUCAUCUGCUAUUUAACAGU
Long non-coding RNA from Corticium candelabrum, 2754 nucleotides. RefSeq lists it as uncharacterized. The transcript is spliced from 16 exons. The record is from RefSeq and is a predicted model, not a curated record. NCBI's taxonomy places the organism in Eukaryota, Metazoa, Porifera, Homoscleromorpha, Homosclerophorida, Plakinidae.